Molecule: ribosomal RNA, 253 nt
Filed under: uncultured bacterium
Lineage: Bacteria
Description: partial 16S ribosomal RNA
Rfam family: Bacterial small subunit ribosomal RNA
Source: RNAcentral
UACGUAGGGUGCAAGCGUUGUCCGGAAUUAUUGGGCGUAAAGAGCUCGUAGGCGGUUUGUCGCGUCUGCUGUGAAAACGCGAGGCUCAACCUCGCGCCUGCAGUGGGUACGGGCAGACUAGAGUGCGGUAGGGGAGAUUUGAAUUCCUGGUGUAGCGGUGGAAUGCGCAGAUAUCAGGAGGAACACCGAUGGCGAAGGCAGAUCUCUGGGCCGUAACUGACGCUGAGGAGCGAAAGCGUGGGGAGCGAACAGG